Molecule: ribosomal RNA, 383 nt
Filed under: uncultured bacterium
Lineage: Bacteria
Description: bacterial SSU rRNA
Rfam family: Bacterial small subunit ribosomal RNA
Source: RNAcentral
AUUGAACGCUGGCGGCAUGCCUUACACAUGCAAGUCGAACGGUAACAGGCCGCAAGGUGCUGACGAGUGGCGAACGGGUGAGUAAUACAUCGGAACGUGCCCGAGAGUGGGGGAUAACGGAGCGAAAGCUUUGCUAGUACCGCAUACGAUCUACGGAUGAAAGCAGGGGACCGCAAGGCCUUGCGCUCAUGGAGCGGCCGAUGGCAGAUUAGGUAGUUGGUGGGAUAAAAGCUUACCAAGCCGACGAUCUGUAGCUGGUCUGAGAGGACGACCAGCCACACUGGGACUGAGACACGGCCCAGACUCCUACGGGAGGCAGCAGUGGGGAAUUUUGGGACAAUGGGCGCAAGCCUGAUCCAGCAAUGCCGCGUGCAGGAAGAAGG